Molecule: ribosomal RNA, 420 nt
Filed under: Fusobacteriaceae bacterium
Lineage: Bacteria; Fusobacteriati; Fusobacteriota; Fusobacteriia; Fusobacteriales; Fusobacteriaceae
Description: bacterial SSU rRNA
Rfam family: Bacterial small subunit ribosomal RNA
Source: RNAcentral
UGAACGAAGAGUUUGAUCCUGGCUCAGGAUAAACGCUGACAGAAUGCUUAACACAUGCAAGUCAACCGGAAGCAGCCUUCGGGCUGUGGUAGGUGGCGGACGGGUGAGUAACACGUAAAGAACUUGCCCCGCAGACCGGGAUAACGCGGUGAAAACUGUGCUAAUACCGGAUAUUAUGGAGAGGUCGCAUGAUCUUUUCAUGAAAGCUAUACGCACUGCGGGAGAGCUUUGCGCUCCAUUAGUUAGUUGGCAGGGUAAAGGCCUACCAAGACCGUGAUGGAUAGCCGGCCUGAGAGGGUGAACGGCCACAAGGGGACUGAGACACGGCCCUUACUCCUACGGGAGGCAGCAGUGGGGAAUAUUGGACAAUGGACCAAGAGUCUGAUCCAGCAAUUCUGUGUGCACGAAGAAGUAUUUCGG